RNAcentral lists this long non-coding RNA (115 nucleotides) under Capra hircus (goat). Its description in RNAcentral is "lncRNA (ENSCHIG00010026426.1)". Lineage: Eukaryota; Metazoa; Chordata; Mammalia; Artiodactyla; Bovidae. The record is from RNAcentral.
CUUGAAGGCAAGGCUGCAAAUACUUGAAGAUUUGGGGGUUAUUCCUUUAAAAAAAAUCCCCAAAGUCUGCUACAGGUGGCAUCGCAGCGAAGGGGAAGCACACUAUGGGGGAAGA